This is a regulatory RNA element of 79 nucleotides. It matches the Rfam family "Alpha-proteobacteria SAM riboswitch aptamer". From Rfam's summary of the family: This family is a riboswitch found predominantly in alpha-proteobacteria that binds S-adenosyl methionine (SAM). This SAM riboswitch is located upstream of the metA and metC genes in Agrobacterium tumefaciens, and other methionine and SAM biosynthesis genes in other alpha-proteobacteria. Like the other SAM riboswitch, it probably functions to turn off expression of these genes in response to elevated SAM levels. The record is from Rfam.
AGGUUAUCCCGUGGUGAUUUGGCCGACCGGCUUGCAGCCACGUAAAACAAGUCGCUAAAAAGGUCGGGUUGCAAAACCG